AAGCAUUGAGACUGUUCCUGACAGAUGUGAACAGACCUUUUGGUGUCUCCUUGCAGCGAGCAUUUGGUGACUGGCAAGUGUUUUGAACUUCAUGUUUUUUAGGAAUAACACACAGUAUCUCUGGAAAAGAAUCCCUCCUGCCAUCAGAUCUGCAAAUGCUGAACUUGGUGCAGUUUGGUCAGUGGGGCAGAGGAUCUGGCAGAGAGACUUGGAAGCACUCUGAGGUCCAAAGUGACCUUGUGUGGGCAGCAGGGCAUUGCCUGAAGUGAUUCCUGUGUGCUCAGACAGUAAUUAGGAGAAAUCAGAACUGUUGCCAAAUUUGUGUAGGUUUUCCUGAAGGAAUUUUAGGUGUCAGAUGUAAAUAAAAACCUCAUGACAGAACCUUGUAAAAA
Molecule: long non-coding RNA, 392 nt
Organism: Empidonax traillii (willow flycatcher)
Lineage: Eukaryota; Metazoa; Chordata; Aves; Passeriformes; Tyrannidae
Exons: 2
Source: RefSeq, a predicted model, not a curated record